Molecule: non-coding RNA, 439 nt
Organism: Hydra vulgaris (swiftwater hydra)
Lineage: Eukaryota; Metazoa; Cnidaria; Hydrozoa; Anthoathecata; Hydridae
Source: RefSeq, a predicted model, not a curated record
UUAAAUUUUUCUAAAUAUGGCAUGUAAUUUUUUAAUGCUUUGAUUCAGACAUUAAAGAUUUGUUAUCAAAACAACAUUUAAAGUUUAAAAAUCAAAUAUCUUCAACAAUUACAACACAAACUAAUUUGCGUAGUUUCAAAAACUGUAUCAAUUUGAUUCUGUAUAUUUGUACAAAGAUAUCAUGAGUGUCUUGUUCCAGCAAUAAAGUCGUAUAUGAAAGAUUUAAAAAGCUUCAUCAACUUACAACAACAUACUCUAGAUUCCAAUAUUAGACUAAAUUUAGACUUAAAAGGUUGUGACAAAACCCUGAAGAUUUAAUUAGAAAAAAAUGUGUUUUGAGUUUAUAUUGUAAAUAUGUUACUAUUGAAAAAGUUUAUCAAAUUGCAUUUGUAUGCAUUUACUUGUAUAUUCUAGUUUAAAAAAGUUUAUUAUAUAUUAA